GAUGAACGCUGGCGGCGUGCCUAAUACAUGCAAGUCGAGCGAACGGACGAGAAUCUUGCUUCUCUGAUGUUAGCGGCGCACGUGUGAGUAACACGUGGAUAACCUACCUAUAAGACUGGGAUAACUUCGGGAAACCGGAGCUAAUACCGGAUAAUAUUUUGAACCGCAUGGUUCAAAAGUGAAAGACGGUCUUGCUGUCACUUAUAGAUGGAUCCGCGCUGCAUUAGCUAGUUGUUAAGGUAACGGCUUACCAAGGCAACGAUGCAUAGCCGACCGGAGAGGGGGAUCGGCCACACUGGAGCUGAGACACGGUCCAGACUCCUACGGGAGGCAGCAGUAGGGAACCUUCCGCAAUGGGCGAAAGCAUGACGGAGCAACGCCGCGUGAGUGAUGAAGGUCUUCGGAUCGUAAAGCUCUGUUAUUAGGGAAGAACAGAUGUGUAAGUAACUGUGCACAUCUUGACGGUACCUAAUCAGAAAGCCACGGCUAACUACGUG
Molecule: ribosomal RNA, 497 nt
Filed under: uncultured bacterium
Lineage: Bacteria
Description: partial 16S ribosomal RNA
Rfam family: Bacterial small subunit ribosomal RNA
Source: RNAcentral